This is a small nucleolar RNA of Pongo abelii (Sumatran orangutan), 98 nucleotides long. The record is from Ensembl. Lineage: Eukaryota; Metazoa; Chordata; Mammalia; Primates; Hominidae.
AUCUGUUUGUAGUCAUAAUUGUGAUCGUUGAGUUUUCAUGUGUGAGAUGUGUGUCACUCAAGCCUUUUUACAAUGUCCGUAUAUUGCCAGGUGUGGUG